AAAUUCCAUAACUCACUUCAAUAAACUCCCCUUAAUAUUCCAAAUUUAACAACAUUAAAAUCUCCCAACCGGCGGCGGCUCCGCCGGCAGCGGCGGCCGGAGGUCAAUUCCGGCGACCUCCAAAACCUAUGAAAUUUUAACAGCAUCUUCCUCUCAUCAAGCUCUACAACUUUCAUAACUAGCACAAACACCAAUUCCAAGCCUAACUAGGGCAAUCGACUAAAAACAUCAAAAACACCAUAAAACUUCCACCUCAAAUUUCUCCUUACCUAGCUCAAGAGGGAGUGAGUCCUUUUAGGGCAAGGUUGCUGGGUUGGAGGGCUACAAAACCAUACCAAGCUUGCCCGGAUUGGUGGCCGGAGGAGGAAGUUCCGGCAAAAAAACCGAUUCGGCAGUCGAAGCUUUCGGGCGGCACCGCUCACUCACGGCGGCGCUAGGGAGGUUGUCACCGGUCUAGAAAUGUUGCUGGGAGGGAGACCGACCGAACGGAACCGGUCCGGCGGCGAACGGAGGCCGGACGGCGGCGGGAGGGCGGCCGGAAAACCGGGCAGCGGGAGGCUCGGGUGCGGAGAGGAAAUCGGGAGGGAGAGAGAAAGAAAAGAAGAAGAAAAUGGGUUGGGCUCGGCCCAGCCGACCCAACACUCCCUUUUUAACCCAAACUUCCAAAAUAAAAACACCCCGAAAAAUAAUACCCGAAUAAAAAUUACCUUUUACUAGCUAAAAUUUACCAUUUUUACCGUAGUCGUAUUUUCCUCAUACGAAUAAUCCUCCGCACAUAAUCGUCCCCGAAACCCCUCUAGGGACCAUUUAAACUAUUUACUCAAUGAUCGAGACGGUAAAAUUCUUAUUAUAAUCACGCUAGUAAAUAAGGUAAAAAUAUAAGGGUCGGGAUGUGACACAUUUUGUAGCCCUCCUCCCGUGCAACAACCCCUCCAAUCAGCUCACUCCCUCUUGAGCUAGGUAAGGAGAAAUGUGGAAUUGAAAUUUCUAGGGCUUUUAGGAUGUUUUUGUUCGAUUAGCCUAGUUAGGCUUGGAAUUGGGUGAUGUGUUGGUCAGGAAAGUUGUAGAGCAUGAUGAGGAGAUUAUUCUAUCAAAAUUUCAUAGGUUUUGGAGGUCGCCGGAAUUGGCCUCCGGCCGCCGCUGCCGGCGGAGCCGCUGGCGGUUAGGAGAUUUUUAGGGUUUUAAGUGUGGAAUAUUAAGAGGAGUAUAUUGAUGUGAUUUAUGGAAUUUUUGGAUGAGAUUUGGAUAGGUUUGUGAAUUUCCGAAGUUUGGUAUUUUUGGCGAUUAAUUAAUGUAGAAUCUGGCCGUAGGAUUUAAGUCGUAUUUUGGGGAGGUUGUAUUUACGACUGUUGAGUAUGAUAUUUAAGUUCGGAUCGUUCCGAUUUAAGAAUAUCGAAGUUAGGCAAUGAUGAGCGUAUUUAUGGCUCUCGGGUAUUUUUGCCUAUUUUGAUUAAAUAUUGGAUUAUUGGUUGGGAAAUUAAUAUUAUAUUUGGAACAGGACGUGAGGAGGCUCGAGCAGACGAGGCCCCAGAUCGACAUCAGGCUUAGGCCUAAUUUGUGAGUGGACUUUUAUUUUAAAUAAAUGCAUGCUAUAGUUCAUGGUUGAACAAUUAAUGUUGCGGAAUAUUUUAACGUCAUUUUAAUUUGACAAUUUUUAUUUCUCUUGGAGAGUUACCGAAAAUGGGAUUUUCGGUGGAUAUAAAUAUGUAUUUAUGAGAGAGUAUGUAUAUAAAUGCUAGCUAGCCAUAUGUGUCUGUCCACCUUAAUGGCGUAGCAUAUAGCCGCAUUAUGGUGUGACGUGAGCGUUGGACGUAAGCGUAGUAGCCCUAUUUGAGUGUGUAAUUCAUAUAGGGGGUAUGGACACAUAUUUAUACACUCGUGUGUCCACUUUGAUGGCGUAGUGUAGCACCGCAUUAAGGCGUGAUGUGAGCGUUGGACGCGAGCGUAGUAGCCCUAUAUAGACCCAUGAAUUUAUAUAGGGAGUAUGGACGAGUGUAAAUACAUAUAUAUAUUAUAGAGUCUGAGAGGCUCGAUAUUUUUGAGAUAAAAGUUUUAUCGCUUGCGGCAUGCAUUCGAUUUUUCCUUAGAAAUUAAUUUGGGGAAACAUAAAUAUUUUAUUUAUUAUUUUAUUUUUGUCCACUCACUCUAACGUUAUUAAAUGUUUUCCCCUGGGCCCUUCGUUUUAAAUUGCCCAGUCUGCAGAGUUCGGGUUGGAUCUAGUAAGAGGCGAGGCAUAGUCACCCGCAUUUCUGCCAGUUUUCGACAGUAGGUUACCUGUUCAACCUACUCGUGUUUUCUUGCUUCCGCUAGUGUUUAGUAGCUCUGAAUACUUUGGGAUUAUUGUAUAUUAUGUGUAGAAUUUCUGAAGGAUAAUUAUGUGAUGUUUGGAAGUGUUGAAUUAAGAGUGUAAUUUGGAAUUUUCGAGUUACGGUUGUCCAUCUGCAAGGGAGAUUUCCUUAAUCUUUUCAGUAAAUUUUCCUUGGAGGUGGUCCCCGCACGACUUACUCCGGGUUUCAGGGUGAAAUUCGGGGUGGGUCGUGUCAAUAUAUAUAUAGGCCGUUUCAGAUACGGACGUCCGCACUGGCCUUAAAGUGCGGACGUUCCCUCCGUUCGCCACCGUACAACGCCUGCGAGGGUGCGCCUCCACCCCAAUAGACUCCAGCAGCGUCCCCGACCAUUUCCCUCCCCGACGAGUCCGCCGAAUUCCAGUUUUCCGGCCAGAUCACCCAAAACUUCAAACAAAGUCAAUCUAGCCGGAAAACUAGAAUUCGGUGAACUCGCCAAGGAUGGAAAGUGGUCAGGGAAGCUGCUGGAGUUCGUUGGAGUGGAGGCGCGCCCUCGCCGGUGUCGUACGGUGGCGAAAGGAGGGAUGUCUGCACUUUAAGAGCCGUGCGGAUGUCCGCACCUAAUACUCACUGUAUGUGUGUGUGUGUGUAUAUAUAUAUAUUAUCAUAUAUAGGGUAGAUAUGAAGCAGAUGUCCACAACUAUGUUAAAGUGCGAACGACGACUCAAAUCAACUCCGGCGGCACCGAUUGCUUCGUUGUUCUUGCUGGUUCCAAACAAGAUCUCCAUCUUGAGCUUCUUCUCGCUGGCAGACUCGAUGGUGAUGAGUUUCGAAUCCGGGAUUGAGCUUCUUCAAGUUUCUGCAGUUUUUCCGACGUCAAACCUUCUUCUACGAUCAUCUUGGCAUUCAACUUGACGCCAUUGGCGUCUGAGGAUGGAAGAAGAGCUGCCAUAUGCAGCCACCGGAGUUGAUUUGAGUCGCCGUCCGCACUUUAACAUCUUUGUAGACGUCCGCUAAAUAUAUAUAUAUAUAUAUAAUCCUUCUCUGCUAAGGAUGUCCUUAUUUAUUCUUAUGGUGUGAAUUUUCACUUUAGACUCACUUUUCGAUCGAAUUUUCACAUCUCCACCGUCUAGUCUUUAGAUAUUAAUGUAUAGUUCAUCUCUGCAAAAAUUUCAGCCAAUUUGGUUAUCAUUAAGGCACACAAAUUCGAUUAAACCAAUGGAUGAACAUAAUUCUGUCGAACUUGAACCGUUCAUGUUUAUAACAGAAAAAUGCAGUUUUGAGUGCCUUAAUAAUAACCAAAUUGGCUGAAAUUUUGUAGAGAUGGUCUAUACAUU
Molecule: long non-coding RNA, 3622 nt
Filed under: Fragaria vesca (wild strawberry)
Lineage: Eukaryota; Viridiplantae; Streptophyta; Magnoliopsida; Rosales; Rosaceae
Description: long non-coding RNA (FVES_LNC001278)
Source: RNAcentral